GAUGAACGCUAGCUACAGGCUUAACACAUGCAAGUCGAGGGGAAACGAUAGAGAAAGCUUGCUUUUUCUAGGCGUCGACCGGCGAAUGGGUGAGUAACGCGUAUCCAACCUUCCGUUAAGUAGGGAAUAGCCUUGCGAAAGUAAGAUUAAUGCCCUAUGUGGUGUUUUGAGGACAUCUGAAGAGCACCAAAGGUUUACCGCUUAACGAUGGGGAUGCGUCUGAUUAGGUUGUUGGCGGGGCAACGGCCCACCAAGCCUACGAUCAGUAGGGGUUCUGAGAGGAAGGUCCCCCACAUUGGAACUGAGACACGGUCCAAACUCCUACGGGAGGCAGCAGUGAGGAAUAUUGGUCAAUGGGCGUGAGCCUGAACCAGCCAAGUAGCGUGCGGGACGAAGGCCCUAUGGGUUGCAAACCGCUUUUCAGGGGGAUAAAGUGAGUGACGUGUCAUUCAUUGCAGGUACCCUGCGAAUAAGGACCGGCUAAUUCCGUG
This 491-nucleotide ribosomal RNA is filed under the name uncultured bacterium. RNAcentral describes it as "bacterial SSU rRNA". It matches the Rfam family "Bacterial small subunit ribosomal RNA", at positions 28 to 507 of the family's 1533-position model. The record is from RNAcentral.